This 500-nucleotide ribosomal RNA is filed under the name uncultured bacterium. RNAcentral describes it as "partial 16S ribosomal RNA". It matches the Rfam family "Bacterial small subunit ribosomal RNA", at positions 28 to 507 of the family's 1533-position model. The record is from RNAcentral.
GACGAACGCUGGCGGCGUGCCUAAUACAUGCAAGUCGUGCGGACCUUGUUGAAGGCUUGCUUUUAAAAGGUUAGCGGCGGACGGGUGAGUAACACGUGGGCAACCUGCCUGUAAGACUGGGAUAACGCCGGGAAACCGGGGCUAAUACCAGAUCGUUUUUUCCUCCGCAUGGAGGAAAAAGGAAAGGCGGCUUCGGCUGCCACUUACAGAUGGGCCCGCGGCGCAUUAGCUAGUUGGCGGGGUAAUGGCCCACCAAGGCAACGAGGCGUAGCCGACCUGAGAGGGGGAUCGGCCACAAUGGGACUGAGACACCGCCCAAACGCCUACGGGGGGCAGCAGGAGGGAAUCUUCCGCAAUGGACGAAAGGCUGACGGAGCAACGCCGCGGGAGGGAAGAAGGCCGUCGGGUCGUAAAACUCUGUUGCCGGGGAAGAACAAGUGCCGUUCGAACAGGGCGGCGCCUUGACGGUACCCGGCCAGAAAGCCACGGCUAACUACGUG